Molecule: ribosomal RNA, 326 nt
Filed under: Staphylococcus sp. MH-1
Lineage: Bacteria; Bacillati; Bacillota; Bacilli; Caryophanales; Staphylococcaceae
Description: bacterial SSU rRNA
Rfam family: Bacterial small subunit ribosomal RNA
Source: RNAcentral
CGAACGCUGGCGGCGUGCCUAAUACAUGCAAGUCGAGCGAACAGAUAAGGAGCUUGCUCCUUUGACGUUAGCGGCGGACGGGUGAGUAACACGUGGAUAACCUACCUAUAAGACUGGGAUAACUUCGGGAAACCGGAGCUAAUACCGGAUAAGAUUUUGAACCGCAUGGUUCAAUAGUGAAAGACGGCCUUGCUGUCACUUAUAGAUGGAUCCGCGCCGUAUUAGCUAGUUGGUAAGGUAACGGCUUACCAAGGCAACGAUACGUAGCCGACCUGAGAGGGUGAUCGGCCACACUGGAACUGAGACACGGUCCAGACUCCUACGGG